ACUCUCGGCAACGGAUAUCUCGGCUCACGCAUCGAUGAAGAACGUAGCAAAAUGCGAUACUUGGUGUGAAUUGCAGAAUCCCGUGAACCAUCGAGUUUUUGAACGCAAGUUGCGCCCAAAGCCAUUUGGUUGAGGGCACGUCUGCCUGGGCGUCACGCAUCGUGUCGC
This 168-nucleotide ribosomal RNA is filed under the name Philoglossa mimuloides. RNAcentral's name for it is "5.8S ribosomal RNA". It matches the Rfam family "5.8S ribosomal RNA". From Rfam's summary of the family: 5.8S ribosomal RNA (5.8S rRNA) is a component of the large subunit of the eukaryotic ribosome. It is transcribed by RNA polymerase I as part of the 45S precursor that also contains 18S and 28S rRNA. Functionally, it is thought that 5.8S rRNA may be involved in ribosome translocation. The record is from RNAcentral. RNAcentral also lists the same sequence under 1 other name. Lineage: Eukaryota; Viridiplantae; Streptophyta; Magnoliopsida; Asterales; Asteraceae.